This 314-nucleotide ribosomal RNA is filed under the name Dipseudopsis varians. RNAcentral's name for it is "eukaryotic LSU rRNA". It matches the Rfam family "Eukaryotic large subunit ribosomal RNA", at positions 66 to 346 of the family's 3401-position model. The record is from RNAcentral. Lineage: Eukaryota; Metazoa; Arthropoda; Insecta; Trichoptera; Dipseudopsidae.
UAACAAGGAUUCCCCGASUAGCGGCGAGCGAAACGGGAACAGCCCAUCGCCGAAUCCCGCGGUCCUCACGGGCCGCCGGGAAAUGUGGCGUUCGGGGGGAGAUUUAAAUUUACUCGCGCGGUCAACCACGGCGGCCAGUCCAAGUCUACCUUGAACGGGGCCCCGCUUAUCCGCAGAGGGUGCCAGGCCCGUAGCGACGGUCGCCGGCCGCGACGGUCUCCCUUCCCCAGAGUCGGGUUGCUUGAGAGUGCAGCCCUAAGCGGGUGGUAAACUCCAUCUAAGGCUAAAUACGACCACGAGACCGAUAGCGAACA